Molecule: ribosomal RNA, 254 nt
Filed under: uncultured bacterium
Lineage: Bacteria
Description: partial 16S ribosomal RNA
Rfam family: Bacterial small subunit ribosomal RNA
Source: RNAcentral
UACGUAGGGUGCGAGCGUUGUCCGGAAUUAUUGGGCGUAAAGGGCUCGUAGGCGGUUUGUCGCGUCGGGAGUGAAAUCCACUGGCUUAACUGGUGGCUUGCUUUCGAUACGGGCAGACUGGAGGUAUGCAGGGGGAGAACGGAAUUCCUGGUGUAGCGGUGAAAUGCGCAGAUAUCAGGAGGAACACCGGUGGCGAAGGCGGUUCUCUGGGCAUGUCCUGACGCUGAGGAGCGAAAGCGUGGGGAGCAAACAGG